RNAcentral lists this ribosomal RNA (406 nucleotides) under uncultured bacterium. Its description in RNAcentral is "partial 16S ribosomal RNA". It matches the Rfam family "Bacterial small subunit ribosomal RNA", at positions 30 to 526 of the family's 1533-position model. The record is from RNAcentral.
AUUGAACGCUGGCGGCAGGCCUAACACAUGCAAGUCGAACGCGUGGCGGACGGGUGAGUAAUGUCCGGGAAACUGCCCGAUGGAGGGGGAUAACUACCGGAAACGGUAGCUAAUACCGCAUACCAUCGGAUGUGCCCAGAUGGGCUUAGCUAGUGGGUGGGGUAACGGCUCACCUCGGCGACGAUCCCUAGCUGGUCUGAGAGGAUGACCAGCCACAAUGGAACUGAGACACGGUCCAGACUCCUACGGGAGGGAGCAGUGGGGAAUAUUGCACAAUGGGCGCAAGCCUGAUGCAGCCAUGCCGCGUGUAUGAAGAAGGCCUUCGGGUUGUAAAGUACUUUCAGCGAGGAGGCGUUACUCGCAGGAGAAGCACCGACUAACUCCGUGCCAGCAGCCGCGGUAAUUC